UCUCCGUAGGUGAACCUGCGGAGGGAUCAUUACUGAGUGAGGGUCUCCGGGCCCGACCUCCAACCCUUUGUGAACCAAACUUGUUGCUUCGGGGGCGACCCUGCCGCUUCGGCGGUGCGGCGCCCCCGGAGGCCAUUAAACACUGCAUCAUUGCGUCGGAGUUAAAGUAAAUUAAACAAAACUUUCAACAACGGAUCUCUUGGUUCCAGCAUCGAUGAAGAACGCAGC
RNAcentral lists this unclassified non-coding RNA (228 nucleotides) under uncultured fungus. RNAcentral describes it as "sequence contains ITS1, 5.8S rRNA gene". The stretch from base 180 to 228 matches the Rfam family "5.8S ribosomal RNA", at positions 1 to 49 of the family's 154-position model. Lineage: Eukaryota; Fungi. The record is from RNAcentral.